Molecule: ribosomal RNA, 253 nt
Filed under: uncultured bacterium
Lineage: Bacteria
Description: partial 16S ribosomal RNA
Rfam family: Bacterial small subunit ribosomal RNA
Source: RNAcentral
UACGGAGGUGGCAAGCGUUACUCGGAAUCAUUGGGUGUAAAGGGCAAGUAGGCGGUUUAAUAAGUGAGGGGUGAAAUCUUUCGACUCAAUCGGGAGACUGCCUUUCAAACUGUUAAACUUGAAGCAGGAAGGGGGAAAUGGAAUUCUUGGUGUAAGGGUGAAAUCUGUAGAUAUCAAGAAGAACACCGGCGGCGAAGGCGAUUUCCUGGUCCUGUCUUGACGCUAAAUUGCGAAAGCUAGGGGAGCAAACAGA